CCAUUUUUAUCGUUGCAAAUGCAAAAGCAAUGAAUGGGGUUUUGGGUUUGUCUCUUGAGAUUGUGAUCGGUUCGGUCGGAGGAAGGAGGAGGAUGGGCGCGGCCGGUGGUCACAAGGUGUGGACGAUGAAGGCGCAGCAGGGGAUGCCCCGAGAAGAUGAAGCCAGGAGGAUGUUCCAGAAAAUCGCCAGACAGGUCCAUCCGAUCAUGCGUAAACACAAAUGGCGGAUUGAGCUCCUCACCGAGAUAGAUAUAGACAUAGAUAUACAUAUACAUAUACAUAUGUAUAUAUAUGUUCAACCAAGCAUAGUCUUGAUAAUCAUCGGAGUAGAAGUAUAUUAUUCAGCUGAAAAGUUUCUCAUUUGAUACUGUGAAGUUGAUCUCAGUCUGUAGCAUAGCAUGUCCAUGAAUGAUGAUGGUAAUUAGAGUGAGUGGAUUUUUUUUUUUGGGUCGAAUCGGCUUAAGAUUUUCAUCCAUAAAAAUUGCGGCUUCAAUGCCAUUUUUGCGUUGUACAUAAGCCUUUCUUGGGAUGGAUGGUGUUCUGUUCUCCGAGUGCGGUCUGGCGGACGGUUGGUGGCUUCUUGGGAGGAACUGGAAUCGUAGAGUGCAUGUGGAGCUGAUUCUCCAAAGGCCCAGUCGUGAGCACGAGUUCCUUCCUUACCGUGGGCGCUCGACACGAUGUUCAUGAGCUGUGCCAUAACAUCCGCUGUCCUCAUGAUGCCACAUUUUACCAGCUCUGGGAUCAACUCAGAAAGGAAUGCAAUAAGAUGAUCCAUCGACGAAUAUCGGACUCUAACCAGUGGAGGCACCCAGGUGUUCUCUCUCGUCAGCCUCCUCCUGCUGGAAAGAGGACAGUCUCGGGUCCUCUACCGCCCACUGGACCCACACGCCUCGGUGGUGAGAAUGACAUCAUGAGCGCACUCAGUCCUGCACAAGCUGCUGCAAUGGCUGCAGAGAGGAGAUUGUUGGAUGAUAUCUGGUGUGGUUCCAGCUCCUGCCAAAAGCCCAAGGUGACGACUGAAAGCCUGGGUGGUCCAAGGGAUAUUCACCCCCUAGCAGCCAAAUUCGAGUUCUGGUCCUGUAAAUUUUGGACUAUGGACAACGGUGUGGAUUUAGAUAAAUGCUCGGCGUGUCAGCAAUGGAGAUAUUCAACUGGAGAUCCGGGGUUGCUGUUCCCACUCCAAUGGAGGUUCGAAAAUUAUAACUGAGUACCUGAGAGAUGUUCCGAUAUCUCAUUAGUUUUAUAGCACAUCAUGAAAAUCGCACUGCUAAUUGUGAUCUCUUAUUCAUCCAUAGCCGGUCUUAACGGGAAGGAACCAAUAUGUGGUUGGACUUAAAACUCUUUGGUUGGCAAAGGUUAGAUCGGUUGAAUCCGUCCUUUUUCUUCCAUUCUUAGCAAGUUCAUCUCCUCAGUUUUCCUCUCUAGUAAACUGAGUUUGCCUUUCUCUAGUAAA
Punica granatum (pomegranate) is the source of this 1453-nucleotide non-coding RNA. The record is from RefSeq and is a predicted model, not a curated record. NCBI's taxonomy places the organism in Eukaryota, Viridiplantae, Streptophyta, Magnoliopsida, Myrtales, Lythraceae.